UACGUAGGCAGCGAGCGUUGUUCGGAAUUGCUGGGCGUAAAGAGUGUGUAGGCGGUGCUCCCAGUCUGUUGUGAAAUCUCCCGGCUUAACUGGGAGGGUGCAGCGGAAACUAGAGUGCUAGAGGGUGGGAGAGGUAAGCGGAAUUCCUGGUGUAGCGGUGAAAUGCGUAGAUAUCAGGAGGAACACCUGUGGUGUAGACAGCUUACUGGACCACUUCUGACGCUGAGACACGAAAGCGUGGGUAGCAAACAGG
Molecule: ribosomal RNA, 253 nt
Filed under: uncultured bacterium
Lineage: Bacteria
Description: partial 16S ribosomal RNA
Rfam family: Bacterial small subunit ribosomal RNA
Source: RNAcentral